GACGAACGCUGGCGGCGUGCUUAACACACGCAAGUCGAGCGGUAAGGCCCUUUCGGGGGUACACGAGCGGCGAACGGGUGAGUAACACGUGGGUGACCUGCCCUCAGCUCUGGGAUAAGCCUGGGAAACCGGGUCUAAUACCGGAUAUGACUCCAUGACGCAUGUUGUGGGGUGGAAAGCCUUGUGCGGCUGAGGAUGGGCCCGCGGCCUAUCAGCUUGUUGGUGGGGUGAUGGCCACCAAGGCGACGACGGGUAGCCGGCCUGAGAGGGCGACCGGCCACACUGGGACUGAGACACGGCCCAGACUCCUACGGGAGGCAGCAGUGGGGAAUCUUGCGCAAUGGGCGAAAGCCUGACGCAGCGACGCCGCGUGAGGGAUGACGGCCU
Molecule: ribosomal RNA, 387 nt
Filed under: uncultured bacterium
Lineage: Bacteria
Description: bacterial SSU rRNA
Rfam family: Bacterial small subunit ribosomal RNA
Source: RNAcentral